Long non-coding RNA from Mus musculus (house mouse), 4687 nucleotides. RefSeq annotates it as predicted gene, 33474. The transcript has 7 exons. Lineage: Eukaryota; Metazoa; Chordata; Mammalia; Rodentia; Muridae. The record is from RefSeq and is a predicted model, not a curated record.
CAUCCUGACAGCCCAUAGUAGGUCAGGCUAGUGUCAAGGCUCCAUGAGACAAAUGUUGAGGAGAUAGAGCCUUAACCAUGUGGAGGAGCCACAACCUUUCUAAAGGCUGGGAUGGGUCAUGUCUAGCCUUUUAUCUCCAUGUUUACUUCUUCAAACCACCACCGAGUUAGUUCCCUUUUGGAAGUCUGUACAAUGUACAGGCCUUUCUUCUGUCAGAGAAGGCCGAGAAAUAGCAAAGACCAGCCUUUGCCUUUAUCUCCUUAGAUAGAGGAGAAAUCCACAGUUAUGUGGAGUCGGAGGAGAGCCAAGCCUUUGACACUGUCCAGCUCUGCCUGCAGAGAGAGGCACCAGUAGGACCAGAUGACCAUGGAGGCCUGACCUGGGGCUGCCCGGCAGUAGUGGAAGCCCAGGUGCCCCAGAGCUGAGUCUUUCACAGGCACCCAGAAGGCUAUCCUUAAUCCCUCUGGGCCAAGUAGCAGCAAAGCCCAGGAGCUCCCUGAGGGCCAUAGACUACUCGGCUGUAUUCUGUUAUCCCUGCCUUUUCCUGGAAUGCCGAGGCUCACAAUGUAACUUCAGCUAAGAACACAAAUAUCAGUGUGGGGCAGCCUGAGCUGAGGAUUCAUCUGGGAGGAUCAACUCUAAGACUGAUGCUCUCACGAAGAUCUCAGGAAUACCCACAAAGGGUGCCUGUCCUCUUGCUCUUGUGUGGGUUCUGUGUCUUACAAACCCACUCUCCUGACCCUGCUUCUCAGCAUGCAUCACCCGUGUGAUGAGAGACCCACAAAUGCUACGCUCUACACUUCACCCUGAGGGGCUCCUCAGCAACCAGGACAACUGUGAGAGGCUGAGGGUGUCACUUCAUCUCUGGAAGAGCACACAAAGGUGGAAAUGAAGUAGCAGAACAUUGGUUCCAUAGCAAACCUCAGCAUGAUUGUCCAAGCUGGGCUGAAAGGUCAAGACUAUAGGAAACGCCUGCCUUCAGGGGCGACUGAGCAGAUGGCUCUGGAAUGUUCCUCUCUGAGACACGCCUACCUUUUCUGCAAACUACAUAAAAAUAUUUAGAAAAAAAUAAGACAUUUGCAUAAAAGAAGUACAAGACAUACACUGAAAACUGUACAGCAUGGACAAAAAAAAAUCAGAUGCCUACGUGAGUGUAAAUGUAGCUGUGUGCACAGAGGGGGACGAGGAAGACGACAGUCCAUAUCCAGCUCCACCCCUAAGAGCCUUUCUGCCUUUCUGCUGUUUAUAGAAAAUGAAUGAAAAGUUCGGCUUGCUUCCUUGCAUCUGGAACUCCUGGGUCGGUAGUGUCUGCAGAGUCAGGGCAGGCACGAUGUCUGAAGCAAUGCCCUCUUUGUUGGAUUUUCCAGGCUCUGAGCACCACUCAGCUGUUUCUUUCCCAGGAGAGUUUUUUCAUACUGGAGACUUUGGACACAAAGUGUGAUACAUAUUGUCACCAUCCUAACACUGCUCCUCCCAGACCACCCAUUUUCUAGUUAAGGACUCCUCAUCUUAGAGGAACUUAGUAGGACAGAAGUUUCAGCCAGGAAGAACUACCAGGUCAGCUCCACGUCCCCACCUGAACCUGUGAGAUAACCACCUCCUCUCCCAAGCCUGCCUUUGACAUGAGGAAAAGCCACGUAGGAAGAUGACGACUUCUCCAAGAACUUAAAUGGAAGAGGCCUUAGCACCCAGGCCUUAUCCCUUAGGUCAUCCUUCGUUCCAGUGAAAGGAAACUUUGCUCCCCGUUAUUCUGGAAAGUUACUGACUUGAGCACUAGGGAUAAGCAGCUGGGUGGCUUGAGAUAGAACUGUCAAAACCAACAACUAAUCAUGGUUCAGAGCACGUGGACAUUUCAACAGGAGCCUGGAGGAGAAGGCAGGGCUUCUUUCCUCAACUGCACAAAUUAAAUAACACAGAACUCCAUCCAAUCCAGAUUUUACCUGCCAUUAAGUAAUAAGUGGAUUGGAAACAUUUUUUUUUUUUUUGAGACGGUCUUGCAGUAUAUCCCUACCUGCCAUGGGACAUACAGUAAACCAGGCUGGCCUUGAACUUUCAGCAACCGCCUGCCAAUGUCUCCUGAGCUGGAAUUAUACAUUCGGGCCUUAACCGGACUUGACUUCAGGGAUGGUACCAGCAUUCUCACCCAGGCAGGGGCGGCCAGUAUUGGGCCGUGCCCAAGGAUGCUGUGAGGCAGGACAGUCUGUGCUAUGAUGUUCUCAGGGACUAUGGGUGGGCCCCUCUCACAGAUCUCACACCCAGGCUCCCUGGGGCCCUAGAUGAGAAUUAGUCAAGACUGUUAAGACAGUCAAGCUUUUUGCUCCUGGCAAUCCCAGCAGAAGAAGGCGAAUUUUCUGCAUGAAGUUGAACUGGAGUCCCACACCGAACUUCCCUCAGCCAGGUCCUAAGACUUCUGAAGGCUUGCUGGGGAACAGCGUCUCCUCAAAGCAGGGAGGAUCACCCCAGGAUUCCCAGGCCAGGAGCCUCACAAAACCCCCCAGCACAAAAUAAAUCUUCCUUUAAAAGUUUGGGGCACAGGGUGGAAGCUAGAGAGACAGUUCAGCAGUUAAGAUACAGGCAACUCUUGCAGAGGAUACAAGUUCAGUUGCUGACACAUUAGGUGGCUCACAGCGUACCUCCAGCUCUGGUAGACUCAACCCGCUCCUGGCCUCUGCUGGCACUUCCCUUGUGCGUACAUACCUACACACAGAAACAAAACUAAAGCUAAAAUAAAUCUUUAAAAAUCCCCUAAACCAGCCAGGCAUAGCACUGUACACCUUUAAUCCCAGCACUUGGGAGGCAGAGGCAGGCAGAUCUCUAAGUUUGAGUCCAGCCUGGUCUACAGAGUAAGUUCCAGGACAGCCAGGGUUACACAGAGCAACUCUGUCUUGAAAAACCGAAACCAAACCAAACCAAAAAAAGAAAAAAGAAGAAAAGAAAAGAACCCCCCCCCCAAACCCGAGCAGCCCAUAGUCCCUGAGAACAUCAUAGCACAGACUGUCCUGCCUCACAGCAUCCUUGGGCACGGCCCAAUACUGGCCACCCCUGUCUGGGUGAGAAUGCGGGUACUGUCCCUGAAGUCAAGUCCGGUUAAGGCCUGAGUGUAUAAUUCCAGCUCUCAGGAGACAUGGGAAAAAGACUGCCUGAGCCAACCUUGGUAUCUUUGUAGGAUAAUUUGAAUUCUCCUUGAAAGUCUCAAAGCUCCUCCAAGGUACUGAGCUCCCACCAGCAAGAGAGCCCACACUGCUUAUUUGUAGUGGAGGCUCUGGAGUUGCACACUUGUGUGAGGUCUCCUCAUCCAGGGUAGCAGGAGACUCCUCAGAGGGUACAGUCACCACCCUUCCCAGAAAGUACCCUCUGUUUUCUCUCAUGAACCCUUUUCUAGGCACGCAGCCAGGAGACCGUCCUCCCCAGGAAACCAUGGCAACUACAGACCUCGGAGGAACACUGCCUCAUGUGUCAUCAUUGUAAAAAAUUAAUGCUUCAAAUCGACUGUUAGGGUGUUUACCCAGAGCAACUCGGACAUCCCAUCAGUCUUUGCAGAGCAACAAGAGCUCGCCGGAAUUGUUAACUUCGAUGGGUUCCCGUGGAUCCGAGUGGAGCGGGGAGGUCUGGACCUGGCUGCCUGCUUGCUGAGUCAGAGCAGGCCUGGUCACUGACACAGGCUACCCCCUGGGCCAUAACUGCCCCUUUCCUCUGGAGAAGAGGACAGAGAGACACCUGCACAGAGUCACAGAUCACAGGGCUAGAAGAGGGCCUGCAGGAUCUGAUAAUCACUUCCUCCCCUUUCCCUCCUCCCUGCUUCCUGCUUCCUGAGUCCUCCUUCCCCCUCUCAUCCUCUUUCUCCCCCUCUCAUUCCCCUUGUUUCCUCUACGUUUUCUUCCUCACCACCACCAUCUCCACCCCACCCCACCCCCUUAUCUUUCUUUUCCCACACACUGAGAAGCAGGAUUUAGGAAUAUCUAAUUCAACAGUAGAUGGAUAAGUCUGGACCAAGGGUCCAUGAGGUCCAUAAUUGUUUGGAAAGUAUCAUAAACCAUUAUAUACCUAUGUAGAUAUAAAAAUCACACACCCAGAAGCACGCUUCAGAAAAAAAGCCACGCCUUUGCUUAAUUGGAUGAUGCAUUGCUUGUGGUUUAGCUUCUCCUUUGAAUUCCGUGAAGGGAUGUGAGAACAAACACCUUUUCAUCCUCCUGGGCACACAGGCUGAGGUCUGGGCGGGGUGCUGAGGUUUGAGUUGUGUUUGAGGUUAGCAUGGGAGGGAGGGAGGGAGAGUACACAGUAACUCGGGGUUGUCAGCAGGCAUGCAUGUGUGAGCUGCUUUGGGAGCAGCCGGCCAGUCAUCACAAAGACUGGACUCAAACUCAGCAUUUACACCGUGAGUGCUCUCUGUCCGCUAGCUAUACACCCUGUCAAAGGGUCACCUUUGUUGUUCAUAAAGCCAGCCAUCUUUAGGAGCCCAGGUAGCCUUUGACUCACGAGGUGACUGUCUAGUGCAGGGCAGCUCUUUACAGUGUAAGGUUUGCUUGCCCUUGUUUGGCCAGGCUGGACCUCCAGUACGCCUUGCCCUUGCUUCAGUCUCCCAGGUAUAGGAUAAAACAUACAUUUUAAAAUCUGUUUCAUUUUUACUAUGAAGAAUUAGUAUCUCAGUGUAAUAAAUUAUGCUCUACUCCCCGCUUCAGCUUUAAAA